GGCCAGACGGGGAGGGCUAAAGGAACCAUGCUUCCUUGGAGAUCCAGCGGGUCCCUUCACUGAAUUUCCAAGGUCUUAAAAAACGAAAGCGCACCUCUAAUGCUUUACUUAACAGAGAGACUGGGAGCAGGAGAUGUGUACACUACAAUAUUCCACCCUGUUGUUCAUUUCGAAGCAAACCUGCUCCAAAUUGGUGGGUACUGGUCACUUAAACUAUUAUUAAAAUGUAGAUAUGAGGCUUCUCUGCUUUGUAUUGGCUUGUGAUAGGCAUCCUGUUUCGUACCCCCUUCAGAAAAUAAAUGGGUAUGAGCCUUUGUCCAAUGACAAUGGCCAAUUUUUCACCUGUGAAACUGAAGUUUGAAAACACUGAAGCUUAUCCCAGGUCAGAGAAGGACCAUAGUUCACUGGCGUAGCAAUACUGUGGAGGUAAGAAGUCCCAGGGGGAUGGAGUUUGUGUUUGAGAUCUGGGAUAGCUGUUGCUUAGCCAAGAAGGCGAUAUGGAGCUAGAUGAGCCAAAAGUGUUAAGCAGGUGCAGCAAGAUUCUCUCUUGGUGCUUUUUCUUUCUAGAUACUGUUGGCUUUCUAGAUAUUUCAGGAGAUCAGCUUCUGCACACCAACAUUUAUUCUGUCCCAGUGCCAGAACUGAGGUUACCUUGCUGGUGUGGUGGAACUCAGUGUUCAUUGUUUCCUAUGUGUAACAUUCCCAGGUCUGAUCCUGGAAUUGGAGCUGAAACACAUGGUCAGCAGGACAGUGUGAAAAGCCUGUUUGUCGCUGGUCUAGCUAUACCACUACUGGUAGCCAAGGAAGUGGAAGACUGAUAGGGGGCUUCAACUUGUGCAUUGAGGCUUCCCCCCCUCUCCUCCCUGUGUGUACUUUCCUUGCCCCCUAAAUUGUCUGGGAUGGUGUAAGGAGAACCCCCAGAAUGACACACAGUGGGAAGAGGAUCAUUCAGUUUUGCAAGCUGAUACGCUUCUGCAGAUGGGAUUUUGUGAUUGAAUUGAAUUCCAACCUGAAUGGUUGAAUAGAAAUCUUCUGGCAUUAUGGCCCAUCAGAAUAAUGGGGCCUCACUGGCCCCACCCUCACUGUCACAUUUCCAAAGGGCUGCUUCUACAUGCAUUGAGGCUGAAGGUCUGGAGCAGGGGUCUAGCUGUGCACAGAUCGGUUUCUCCCAUGAUUUAGAAUUACACAGGGAGUCCAGUGCUCAGGGGUAGAGUGGGGUGAGGAUGGAGCAACAGGGGUUGAGCCAGCAAAUGCCUUUAAAUAUUCGAAUUCCCCACCUGUAUUCCGAACUAACAACAGAUAUAUAAUGUGAGCCUGCAAAUUGUGUAGCUCAGUCCUGUUAUUGAAAGUUUCCCAGUCUGAAUGGCCAAAUCUGCAUUGGUCCCAGAAUAAAAGCUCAGUUGGAAAUCAGCCAAGCGCUAAGUCACUUUCGCCAGACAGUGGCAAGACCAGCAGUCAUAUUGAAUGUGUGUGUGUUUUAAAAAUAAGAUUUAUUAGCGCCCAACAUCCUAAGGUGUGAGGUGGCAGGUGUGGGGUGUUGUUCAUUGCUUUGCUGCGUUCUAGUUUGGCAUAUUGGCCAUACCUAUUGUACAAAGACAGAUUAAUUUCCAAAAUGUUGACUAUCGUUAUAUAUCCAUAAUGCCAGAAAAGAAGUUUUAAGGAUAUGCUAUGUCCAGGCAGAACAACUCCAUUCUGAAGCCCCAUCUAGAUCAAUGUUUAAAAAACUGACUUAGAGCACAUUGCUUAAUCCAGUUUAGAAUUUUGUUAUUUUUUGAAAACAACAAUAACCUUACCUUCAUAUUUCCACAGAUAAUACUAGGUAUGUUUUCCCUUGAAUCCCAGCAGUUUGGGGGUAAGGUCACAAUUUUUGCAUUUAUAAAACAUAUGCCCCAUCUAAGGUUCAAAGACAGGUGGUUUAUGACAUACUGAAACCCUUACAAAACAAACUUAUACUUUAAUUAUUUUAAAUUCUUUUUUUAAAAAAACAAAACCCUACACGUAUAGAGAAUAAGAGAAGAAUCAACAGCAGAUACAAAUACAAUACAUCUAACAUUCCUGGUCUCCACAGGGCCACAAGCACCCUCUGAAAGCGUUUGCUUCUCUGCCAUCUUCUUAAAGCAAUAAGGGAGCAGGUUGAAUGUGGCUUCUGGGUCGGGAGUUCCAAAUUGAGAACACUGUUUCUGGUGGCCAGCAUUUCUGGUCAAAAGGAAAGCCCCACCAGAUAACCUUAUGAGAGGAAAGUGGGCUUGUCAUGAAUCCUGAGGUAAACUUUUCAUUUUCAGUGAACUGGUAGUGUAACGAGAUUUAGGGUGUCUGCAUUCCCUCACUGUGUUGUCUUACUCAUCCCUCCAUGCCAGCAAAAGGCUGCUGAGAUGUCCUACCACUUUCUUUCCCAAAUGCCAGGUCUCAAGUUGAGGCCGCAGGUUUCUGAAACCUCAUCUAUAGCAUGAAUAUGAGCUUUCUAUUGGCAUGUGCCAAUGUCACUGGUCUGGUUUCCUCCAAAGAAUCCUGGGAAAUUAAGUCUGGUAAAGGUGAUGAACAUUCCCUGACAGUGCUUCCUUCGCUUCCGCUAACCCUGGUCACAGAACUGAGAUUCCCAGGGUUCUCUGGGGGAAAGUGAUUCCUGUUAUACCUAUUAGAAUCUGUAAAUGUGGGGUGUGCUCUUAUUCAAAUUCUCAUAGUGACUGAGCCUUUGGCUGUUUGGGCAAAGGAAUCUUUAUUUUUUCAUCAACCAUGAACCAGUGUAUUGUCUAUCUACAACCACUUAGGCAACGUUUCCCCUAUUAAGGACCAGUUCACACAAAAUCUGCCCUUGCUGAAUGGUGAGUUCACUCGAUAUGCCUUCCAGCUGGUUCUGUCCAUGGCAAUGCUUUUGUCUGGCUGAUCCAAGAAAUACCAAUCUCUUUUCAGUCCACAGUGUCCCACCUUGCAGAAGAGCAGUUGGGCAACUGAUUUACCCUACGGCCAGCUUUGCAGCUUCCAUUCUGCAUGCUGGCCAUAUGCACCUGCUUGACUGUGGCCCAAAAGAGGAGAUUAAGGCUGCAAUACUGACCAUAUCUACUCAAAAGUAAACCCCAUGCAAUGGGGUUUGCUACUCCAGGUUUAGUGGAGUUCAAACUGCAGCUAUAAACACGAAGAAACAGAAAUAGUUCUAUAUGAGGUGUACCCCUGAUUCUGGCCCAUUAACAGAGACAUAUAUUUAAAUAUUUUAUUUUUCUAGGAAUAGAGGUAGACAUGCUAUUCUGCUAAAAGCAGAGCGAGUGAAUUUCUCUCCAACGAUGUUUCUAUAGAUGGGCUUGAAGCCACUGGAAUCGUAUAGUAGUAUUUUUUUCCUGGCUUGUUCCAUUUCAGGCAGCAGGCAGCUUCUCAAAGUUAUGAAUGUUCUCUAACGUUAGGAGAAAGCCCUUGCACAUCCAAACCUAGCACUCCAGGCAGAAAGGUUCUAGCCAGACAAUCUUCUUGAUGUGCUGCUUUUCAGCAUGCAAGGAUUUCAUUUUUUAAUUUUUUUCAGAUGGGGGAGUAUUCAGAAAUGAGAUUCUCCCAUCACCUGUUGAAAUAUGAACUGGUACAUUCCAAGAAGAACUCUUGCCACCUGGUUUGGCUGACCAGAUCGGCCCUGAAUCAAUGGCCUGGAGCAGUGCUCGACAACUUUAAGGUCCCUGGCCUCCAAAGUGCCUAAACUGCUGUCAACACAGUCACAAUGGGCACUUCCCUUCCCUGAAAUGAAAUGUCGGCACAACCCCUCAGUUCUUUGCUUCUGGUAUCUAUGGAGUUGAGGACCACUAAUCAAACACUAACACCUAGCACUCGGCAACUUGAUGGGCACAAGCCAACACCAAAGAGAAGUGUGAUUCUUCGCUUGGGUUCUGAAUAUCUCUUUCUCCUUCCACAGCAUUUUUAUUAUUAUUAUUAAAAAGAAUUAAAUCACAAUAUGUUCAAUCUCAGGUAUAUGGGUUUCUUUUUUUCCUUAAGAAAAAAAUAGUUUGUAUUGAUAUGGAAAGCUUGGGCAGUUCCCCAUUUCUGCAUUUUGUUCACCUCCCUCUCCCAAAGCCUUUCUGUUUUAUUUUUAAACAAUCAAUAAAUUAAAGCAGCAUUAAUCAAAAGGCCUUCGCUUCCGGGGGAAGCCAGGUGAUUACGAGUGAGUUUGGCAUUGAGCGUCAUGCAUAUAUCUUUAGAGAAAGCCAUAUGAAAUCAGACUGCAAUAUUCAUUACGAAUGCUAUUCUGUGUUUUAAACGAACCAACGAACAAACUUGCAUUGUGUGCUAAAUCCCUUCAGCAUUUCUCUGUCUAUGUUUCCGGUACAAUAUGUUAGCUUAGUUUCCAUCUGCCCAGUCCUUCAACAUACCAGUGAUGUUCAGUACAUCAAUCGAACAGGCUCUUAGAACCAAUUGUUGUUAGGAAUUCCAUUGUUGUGAUCUGAAUGUAACGUCCUAUGUAUCUCUCUGAACCCGUUUACCUGUAUAUGUUUUAUUCUGUGUUAACCAAGAUUCCGGUUCUAUGUGCUCAGUCAGCAACAUCUUUCAGUAAAUGUCUUUUUAAACAAUGCUUGUUUUCACACUCGCGUAAUACUAAUACUAAUAAUAAAAAAGCGCAGAACACUAACUAGAUGGGCAUUUUCUAAUAAGUGAAAUGAAACAAACCAACAAAAUGCUCUUUUUUUCCCUCUUCGGAAUGCAUGCAGCACCUUCGGAAGCAGCCAGAAGGUGACUUCAAGUAGAGACUUUGUGAAUGUAAAUUCUGUUUGUAAUCUGCCUGCUACCUUUUCCUGCAUGAUGUGGGUUCAAUGGUACAAUGUUCUUUUCAAAUGGAAUCACAGCC
Non-coding RNA from Podarcis lilfordi (Lilford's wall lizard), 4819 nucleotides. The record is from the annotation of a GenBank genome assembly. NCBI's taxonomy places the organism in Eukaryota, Metazoa, Chordata, Lepidosauria, Squamata, Lacertidae.